This 81-nucleotide unclassified non-coding RNA is filed under the name Oryza sativa (Asian cultivated rice). RNAcentral describes it as "partial microRNA MIR482c precursor". Lineage: Eukaryota; Viridiplantae; Streptophyta; Magnoliopsida; Poales; Poaceae. The record is from RNAcentral.
UUUCUUCCUCCUCUCUCCCCAUCUCCCCUCUCUCUCCUCACUGACCGGUGGAGCGGGGCGGCGGCGACCAGAGGCUGGUGG